RNAcentral lists this ribosomal RNA (237 nucleotides) under uncultured bacterium. RNAcentral describes it as "partial 16S ribosomal RNA". It matches the Rfam family "Bacterial small subunit ribosomal RNA", at positions 99 to 334 of the family's 1533-position model. The record is from RNAcentral.
CGAACGGGUGAGUAACGCGUGAGGAACCUGCCUCAAAGAGGGGGACAACAGUUGGAAACGACUGCUAAUACCGCAUAAGCCCACGGCUCGGCAUCGAGCAGAGGGAAAAGGAGUGAUCCGCUUUGAGAUGGCCUCGCGUCCGAUUAGCUAGUUGGUGAGGUAACGGCCCACCAAGGCGACGAUCGGUAGCCGGACUGAGAGGUUGAACGGCCACAUUGGGACUGAGACACGGCCCAG